This 287-nucleotide unclassified non-coding RNA is filed under the name Hevea brasiliensis (rubber tree). The record is from RNAcentral. Lineage: Eukaryota; Viridiplantae; Streptophyta; Magnoliopsida; Malpighiales; Euphorbiaceae.
GGAAAAUCUUUACCCAACCUUUCAGCAAGCAUAGCAGAACCUUCUUCGAACAAUUCCUCCACAACACCAACAGCUGAAAGUUUGUUUGCAGAUUUACCCAAAGAGUUUUGAUAUUUCUUUCCAAAGAAUGAGGUAAGCACAUUUUGCUUCUUCCUUGGAGUUGAUGGUAAUAGUAUAGGUUGCUCGGAUGGGAUAAUAUCAACAACCAAGCAAGUUGUAUCAUCCUUCAACCCCCUUGACCGCAAAGCCUCCUUCACAACCAGCUUGGCAGCAAGCUCUGCAGGUAA